RNAcentral lists this ribosomal RNA (430 nucleotides) under uncultured bacterium. RNAcentral's name for it is "bacterial SSU rRNA". It matches the Rfam family "Bacterial small subunit ribosomal RNA", at positions 917 to 1345 of the family's 1533-position model. The record is from RNAcentral.
GGACCCGCACAAGUAGUGGAGCAUGUGGUUUAAUUCGAAGAUACGCGCAGAACCUUACCAACACUUGACAUGUUCGUCGCGACUUUAAGAGAUUAAAGUUUUCGGUUCGGCCGGACGAAACACAGGUGCUGCAUGGCUGUCGUCAGCUCGUGUCGUGAGAUGUUGGGUUAAGUCCCGCAACGAGCGCAACCCUCACUUUUAGUUGCCAUCAUUUAGUUGGGCACUCUGAAAGAACUGCCAGUGAUAAGCUGGAGGAAGGUGGGGAUGACGUCAAGUCCUCAUGGCCCUUACGUGUUGGGCUACACACGUGCUACAAUGGCAUUUACAAUAGGAAGCAAGAUGGCGACGUCAAGCAAAUCCUAAAAAGAUACCUCAGUUCGGAUUGCACUCUGCAACUCGAGUGCAUGAAGCUGGAAUUACUAGUAAUCGU